Molecule: ribosomal RNA, 590 nt
Filed under: uncultured bacterium
Lineage: Bacteria
Description: bacterial SSU rRNA
Rfam family: Bacterial small subunit ribosomal RNA
Source: RNAcentral
UGGCGGCGUGCCUAACACAUGCAAGUCGAACGAGAAGGUGGAGCAAUCCAUGAGUACAGUGGCGACCGGGUGAGUAACACGUGACUACCUACCCUCGAGUGGGGAAUAACUCCGGGAAACCGGGGCUAAUACCGCAUAACAUCGAGAGAUCAAAGCAGCAAUGCGCUUGAGGAGGGGGUCGCGGCUGAUUAGCUAGUUGGUAGGGUAAUGGCCUACCAAGGCGAAGAUCGGUAUCCGGCCUGAGAGGGCGCACGGACACACUGGAACUGAAACACGGUCCAGACUCCUACGGGAGGCAGCAGUGGGGAAUUUUGCGCAAUGGGGGAAACCCUGACGCAGCAACGCCGCGUGGAGGAUGAAGUCCUUUGGGACGUAAACUCCUUUCGACCGGGACGAUUAUGACGGUACCGGUGGAAGAAGCCCCGGCUAACUUCGUGCCAGCAGCCGCGGUAAUACGAGGGGGGCGAGCGUUGUUCGGAAUUAUUGGGCGUAAAGGGCGCGUAGGCGGCGCGGUAAGUCACCUGUGAAACCUCCCGGCUCAACUGGGAGCCUGCAAGCGAAACUACCGUGCUGGAGUGUGGGAUGGGUGC